This 544-nucleotide ribosomal RNA is filed under the name Bacillus toyonensis. RNAcentral describes it as "bacterial SSU rRNA". It matches the Rfam family "Bacterial small subunit ribosomal RNA", at positions 886 to 1430 of the family's 1533-position model. The record is from RNAcentral. Lineage: Bacteria; Bacillati; Bacillota; Bacilli; Caryophanales; Bacillaceae.
CCGCAAGGCUGAAACUCAAAGGAAUUGACGGGGGCCCGCACAAGCGGUGGAGCAUGUGGUUUAAUUCGAAAGCAACGCGAAGAACCUUACCAGGUCUUGACAUCCUCUGAAAACCCUAGAGAUAGGGCUUCUCCUUCGGGAGCAGAGUGACAGGUGGUGCAUGGUUGUCGUCAGCUCGUGUCGUGAGAUGUUGGGUUAAGUCCCGCAACGAGCGCAACCCUUGAUCUUAGUUGCCAUCAUUAAGUUGGGCACUCUAAGGUGACUGCCGGUGACAAACCGGAGGAAGGUGGGGAUGACGUCAAAUCAUCAUGCCCCUUAUGACCUGGGCUACACACGUGCUACAAUGGACGGUACAAAGAGCUGCAAGACCGCGAGGUGGAGCUAAUCUCAUAAAACCGUUCUCAGUUCGGAUUGUAGGCUGCAACUCGCCUACAUGAAGCUGGAAUCGCUAGUAAUCGCGGAUCAGCAUGCCGCGGUGAAUACGUUCCCGGGCCUUGUACACACCGCCCGUCACACCACGAGAGUUUGUAACACCCGAAGUCGG